UACGUAGGGUGCGAGCGUUGUCCGGAAUUAUUGGGCGUAAAGGGCUCGUAGGCGGUCUGUCACGUCGGGAGUGAAAACACGGGGCUUAACCCCGUGCCUGCUUCCGAUACGGGCAGACUAGAGGUAUGCAGGGGAGAACGGAAUUCCUGGUGUAGCGGUGAAAUGCGCAGAUAUCAGGAGGAACACCGGUGGCGAAGGCGGUUCUCUGGGCAUUACCUGACGCUGAGGAGCGAAAGCUAGGGGAGCGAACGGG
RNAcentral lists this ribosomal RNA (253 nucleotides) under uncultured bacterium. Its description in RNAcentral is "partial 16S ribosomal RNA". It matches the Rfam family "Bacterial small subunit ribosomal RNA", at positions 524 to 776 of the family's 1533-position model. The record is from RNAcentral.